This 491-nucleotide ribosomal RNA is filed under the name uncultured bacterium. RNAcentral's name for it is "partial 16S ribosomal RNA". It matches the Rfam family "Bacterial small subunit ribosomal RNA", at positions 29 to 507 of the family's 1533-position model. The record is from RNAcentral.
UUGCACGCUGGCGGCAUGCUUUACCCCUGCCAGUCGGACGGUAACAGGCCUUCGGGUGCUGACGAGUGGCGAACGGGUGAGUAAUGCAUCGGAACGUACCCAGAGGUGGGGGAUAACGCAGCGAAAGCUGUGCUAAUACCGCAUGUGAUCUGAGGAUGAAAGCGGGGGACCGAGCAGCAAUGUUUGGCCUCGCGCCUUUGGAGCGGCCGAUGUCGGAUUAGCUAGUUGGUGGGGUAAAGGCCUACCAAGGCGACGAUCCGUAGCUGGUCUGAGAGGACGACCAGCCACACUGGGACUGAGACACGGCCCAGACUCCUACGGGAGGCAGCAGUGGGGAAUUUUGGACAAUGGGCGCAAGCCUGAUCCAGCAAUGCCGCGUGCGGGAAGAAGGCCUUCGGGUUGUAAACCGCUUUUGGCAGGAACGAAACGGUGUCCGCUAAUACCGGGCGCUAAUGACGGUACCUGCAGAAUAAGCACCGGCUAACUACGUG